This 546-nucleotide long non-coding RNA is filed under the name Mustela putorius furo (domestic ferret). RNAcentral describes it as "lncRNA (ENSMPUG00000025587.1)". Lineage: Eukaryota; Metazoa; Chordata; Mammalia; Carnivora; Mustelidae. The record is from RNAcentral.
CUGUAGCUAAACCGUGCAUGCAGUCAUUGAGCUCUACAAAUGUAUUCUGGAGGUCAGAAGUCCAAAACCAAAGCGUCAAUAGGGCUGUCCCCUCCUUGAUGACUCCAGGGGAGAAUCUGUCCCCUGACCCUUCCAGCUUCCGGUGGCCCACAGCACUUCCAGUCUUUGCUUCCGUGGUCACAUUGCUGCCGCCUCUUCUGUCAAAUCUUCCUCUGCCUCAUUCGUAUAAAGACACUUGUCACUGGAUUAUUUAAACUCCUGUGGAUAAUCCUGGAUAAGCAGCCUCUUGAAAAAUCCUUAACGUCAUCCCAUCGUUUGCCAUAUCAGGUAAUACUUUUUUUUUUUUUUUGCCAUAUAAGGUAAUAAUCACAGGUUUUGGGGGGAUUAGAAUGUGGACAGAUUUUUUUUUUUAAGAUUUUCUUUAUUUAUUUGAGAGGGAGAGAAAGAGAGCAUGAGCAGGGGGAGAGGCAGAGGAAGAGGCAGACUCCCCACUGAGCAGGAAGCCCAACACGGGACUCGAUCCCAGCACCCUGAGGUAGUGACAGA